Molecule: ribosomal RNA, 497 nt
Filed under: uncultured bacterium
Lineage: Bacteria
Description: partial 16S ribosomal RNA
Rfam family: Bacterial small subunit ribosomal RNA
Source: RNAcentral
GAUGAACGCUGGCGGCGUGCCUAAUACAUGCAAGUCGAGCGAACAGAUGAGGAGCUUGCUCCUCUGACGUUAGCGGCGGACGGGCGAGUAACACGUGGAUAACCUACCUAUAAGACUGGGAUAACUACGGGAAACCGGAGCUAAUACCGGAUAAUAUAUUGAACCGCAUGGUUCAAUAGUGAAAGACGGUUUUGCUGUCACUUAUAGAUGGAUCCGCGCCGCAUUAGCUAGUUGGUAAGGUAACGGCUUACCAAGGCAACGAUGCGUAGCCGACCUGAGAGGGUGAUCGGCCACACUGGAACUGAGACACGGUCCAGACUCCUACGGGAGGCAGCAGUAGGGAAUCUUCCGCAAUGGGCGAAAGCCUGACGGAGCAACGCCGCGUGAGUGAUGAAGGUCUUCGGAUCGUAAAACUCUGUUAUUAGGGAAGAACAAAUGUGUAAGUAACUAUGCACGUCUUGACGGUACCUAAUCAGAAAGCCACGGCUAACUACGUG